RNAcentral lists this transfer RNA (72 nucleotides) under Camelus bactrianus (Bactrian camel). It matches the Rfam family "tRNA". Rfam says of the family: Transfer RNA (tRNA) molecules are approximately 80 nucleotides in length. Lineage: Eukaryota; Metazoa; Chordata; Mammalia; Artiodactyla; Camelidae. RNAcentral also lists the same sequence under 1 other name. The record is from Rfam by way of RNAcentral.
GAGGGUAUAGCUCAGUGGUAGAAUGUGUGCCUCACAUGCACAGGGUCCUGGGUUCGGUCCCCAGUACCUUCA